GAUGAACGCUGGCGGCGUGCUUAACACUUGCAAGUCAAACGAACCUUCGGGUUAGUGGCGGACGGGUGAGUAACGCGUGAGAAUCUGCCCUCAGGAGGGGGAUAACGGCUGGAAACGGCCGCUAAUACCCCAUAUGCCGCGAGGUGAAAUGAAUUUCGCCUGAGGAUGAGCUCGCGUCUGAUUAGCUAGUUGGUGGGGUAAAGGCCUACCAAGGCUUCAAUCAGUAGCUGGUCUGAGAGGAUGAUCAGCCACACUGGGACUGAAACACGGCCCAAACUCCUACGGGAGGCAGCAGUGGGGAAUUUUCCGCAAUGGGCGAAAGCCUGACGGAGCACCGCCGCGUGAGGGAUGAAGGCCUCUGGGCUGUAAACCUCUUUUAUCAAGGAAAAAAAUCUGACGGUACUUGAUGAAUAAGCCACGGCUAAUUCCGUG
Molecule: ribosomal RNA, 432 nt
Filed under: uncultured bacterium
Lineage: Bacteria
Description: bacterial SSU rRNA
Rfam family: Bacterial small subunit ribosomal RNA
Source: RNAcentral